CCUGGACAUUUUCCUGAUCUUUACCUGUGAUUUUGACAUGCAUUACUUCUUGAAGAUGCUACCUCCCCAAUGGAGAAUGUUUCCAUCUGAUCCAGCUGUCCUUUUUCCUUCCUCAAGUGAUGGACCAACAGCCUAAGCACAAGGAGGCACUUCCCAGAGCAAGCAGUGGUUCAUUGGCAGCCUCUGCCACAGGAAAGAAGGCGAUGCCAGGCACGGGUCCAGACACAGGAGGUAAUUGCUGUGCUGGGCUCAGCCCUCGGCGGGGCUGUGUGCCAGCAGCUCUCCCCACAGGGCCGGCCCUUGCACAGCCCAGCAGCAGCCAAAGCUGGAGGUGCCUCAGCUCCGAGGCCUCUGGAGAUCAUUCCCACCCCUUGGGAAACGGGACUUGAGGAACAACAUCACUGCCUCUGCAGCUGUUCCCAGAGCUGGUCCUGAGUGCCCAGAGGCCCAAGGCACAGGAGCAGCCCUGAGUGGGAGCCAUGACAUGAGCCAGGGCCACAGCCAGCCCUGUCUCCCAACUGGGCACGGCCUGCACUGGCUCCUGACAGGGCCUGGCUCUGUCCCCUUGGGCUGGGGGAGCUGUCACAGAGCAGGGAGGGUCAGGGGUGGCUGUGGCUGCUCAGGGAUGGCUUUGGCCUGAGUCCCUGGAAGGAGCCACUGCCCAAGUGGCUGCGCUGUCCCCGGGCUCUGCUCCCGGCCUUCUGGGCUCUGUUGGGUGGCACAGCCUGUGCCAAGGGGCAGCAAGGUGCAUGCAGACCCCAGCCCUGGAGGAAACAGAGAAUGUACGGGAUAUACCCAGCAUGCUGCCAGCUCAGCAGUGCAGCACAGCAUGGACUCACACUGCCCAUUGCUUCCAUAGAUGCAACCAGCACAACACAAGUUCCUGGUUCCCAGAAGGUCAUUGAAAGGGCUUUCUGUCAGGGAAUGUUCUGCUGGAUAGAGCUAAUAGCAGGCGUGCUUUGUUUGGAGAUUAUCUUCAUGUUGUGCUGCUUUGGAAUCUGCUAUGUCUGGAAGAGAAAACGGAGCACUUCUGGACAGCAUUUGAAGGACAGUGGCUGCACUAAACACCCAGACAGCUUGAGCAGCACCUCUGGCUGUAAUAAGGGCCUGAUCAGCUCUCUGAAGAACCCUGCGAAGAGGAUCCCAGGACUGCUGUCUUUGAAGAAACCUCCUAUAACCCUGUAGAUCCCACGGCCAACUCUUCUCCCCAUGGGUAUCCCCAAGGUCCCUUCAGUCCCUUUUUUGAUCUCCCUCUGCCCCGGCCUAGCCCGUUCCUUAGUUCUUGUAGAGACCCCAAGACCAGCCCAGCACCCUCCAGCCCCACCUGAGACCAACAUGGCCCUUCCUCUGUCCCUGAGCCCCCUGGCCCUGCCCUCUAAACAGCACUGAAGGUGAGCCCAUCUGCCAGUGUAGGUGAUGGCCCCUUCUUCUCUUCAAAUAAAGAGAUGGAGCUGUUAGCCCA
This 1462-nucleotide long non-coding RNA is filed under the name Cyanistes caeruleus (blue tit). Its description in RNAcentral is "lncRNA (ENSCCEG00000018676.1)". Lineage: Eukaryota; Metazoa; Chordata; Aves; Passeriformes; Paridae. The record is from RNAcentral.